GAUGAAGACGCAGCGAAAUGCGAUAAGUAGUGUGAAUUGCAGAAUUCAGUGAAUCAUCGAAUCUUUGAACGCACAUUGCGCCCCUUGGUAUCCCGAGGGGCAUGCCUGUUCGAGCGUCAUUUCACCACUCAAGCCUGGCUUGGUGUUGGGCGACGUCCUCUUUGGGGACGCGCCUCGAAACGCUCGGCGGCGUGGCACCGGCUUUAAGCGUAGCAGAAUCUUUCGCUUUGGAAGUCGGGGCCCCGUCUGCCGGAAGACCUGCUCGCAAGGUUGACCUCGGAUCAGGCAGGGAUACCCGCUGAACUUAAGCAUAUCAAUAAGCGGAGGA
RNAcentral lists this unclassified non-coding RNA (328 nucleotides) under soil metagenome. RNAcentral describes it as "partial contains 5.8S ribosomal RNA, internal transcribed spacer 2, and large subunit ribosomal RNA". The stretch from base 1 to 119 matches the Rfam family "5.8S ribosomal RNA", at positions 35 to 154 of the family's 154-position model. The record is from RNAcentral.